UCCAACAACGGCUCGAGGCAGUCCACCUUCGGCAAGAGCAGAGCCGGGCUGCUGAAGAUGGCGUAGGAGCUCGCCAUGCUCUGCGAGGCGGACCUUGGCAUCCUCAUUUUCGACAACGUCGGCAAGCAGAUGGACUACUGCAGCCCCUCCACCAUGUCCAAUAGUUCUCCUUUGUUGAUCUUCUCCACCCUAUCGCAUGGCACGUGCGUACAUCUCGAUUCAUCCCAGUUGCAAACUUAUUUUGGAUAUUCUGUAAUGCCCUGUCUAGCUAGGUGCCCCUCUGCGGCUCUGACGUCUAUACUUUUAGAUUGGUCUGUUUUUAGUACAAGAGUACAUGUGUGUGGUGAACUAUAG
RNAcentral lists this ribosomal RNA (354 nucleotides) under Triticum aestivum (bread wheat). Its description in RNAcentral is "partial small subunit ribosomal RNA". Lineage: Eukaryota; Viridiplantae; Streptophyta; Magnoliopsida; Poales; Poaceae. The record is from RNAcentral.